RNAcentral lists this ribosomal RNA (253 nucleotides) under uncultured bacterium. RNAcentral describes it as "partial 16S ribosomal RNA". It matches the Rfam family "Bacterial small subunit ribosomal RNA", at positions 524 to 776 of the family's 1533-position model. The record is from RNAcentral.
UACGAAGGGGGCUAGCGUUGCUCGGAAUGACUGGGCGUAAAGGGCGCGUAGGCGGUUUGUACAGUCAGGUGUGAAAUUCCCGGGCUCAACCUGGGGGCGGCACUUGAGACGUAGGAACUGGAGUGAGGAAGAGGGUCGUGGAAUUCCCAGUGUAGAGGUGAAAUUCGUAGAUAUCUGGAGGAACACCGGUGGCGAAGGCGGCGUUCUGGACUGCAACUGACACUGAGGAACGAAAGCCAGGGGAGCAAACGGG